UUGACGGAGAAGAGGCCACACAAACACAACACACUACGCAUGUCUGCAGGAGACGGCAGAACAUUCUUUAGGAAGAUUAGCCACCUGAAUCCUGCACUUUAUGAGCAAAUCGAGGAUCAUCCAUCGGAAUCCUGCACUGUAUAAAGCAGCUCACACGGUUACCGUUUUCUACUGUACAGCCAGACAGAUAUGUGAGGUGUGCCUUCCAUUUUAAACCUCCAAUGUUGUGGGAACCAAGGUUGUCACCUGCAAUGGCGCACAAGGUUCCUUUGCAGACUGUUCCAUUAGACCACAAACGGGCUUAUCCUUCUCGCAGAUAGUUCUGCCACAGUGACUGAUGUUGAGAAGACACUCACCCUACCCUCGACUCCUCGUCUAAUACUGCUUGGUGGAACAAAGCGUGUGACUGCUGGAUGCUGGAUGAUCAGCCUUGAGGGUCAUGUCCUAUUUGAGGGCAUCCAACCAACAUUUGUGACAGGGCUCGCUGCUCUGUUUUCAGUGUACUACAUCUUUAACCUACAGUACCAAGAUGAGGCUGCCUGUACACUUGAAUUCAUUCAAAGGCGCUUCAUUGGGAUCAACCCAGAGAGAGGAACCAAGGCCAGCCGGGGCAAGACUGUCUCCAAGAGGACAGGGAGAGUCGUUCAGAAGAAGUCUGUUACAGUCAAUCCCCGUGUGUCCACUCUUCUGAAGAACCUCAUAGACUUUGAGUGGAAUUUCAUAUAGGUCAGUGAACCCAGGCACUUCACAUCAACGCAGCCGUGAUUAUUUCACAUUGUUUGCCUGAAGUUAUGUGUUCUUGUUCUCCUGUUUAGUCAAUCUGCUAUAUUUGACUUCAGAAAUGUGGGUAUUUAUGCCGUAGAACUGCCAUUUAUGUUAACAAGAAGGGAUCAUGUUCACUUGUCCCAGAAAAGGCCCUUGAUCAGUUCUGUUCUAAUCAGACUUGAAGCCUUCUCUUUAUGUUUUAAGAUACCCAUUUAAGUUAAUUUAAAAACAUUUGCUUUGAAAUGCUGAGUGAAGCUAAAACUGAGUUAGAAUGUGUGGAGUGUAUUUCAUUUUUGCAGAAAUUUUGAUCAUCGAACACUGUUGACAUUUGAACAGGGGUGUCUGAGCUGUUGUUUGUGAGAGAAAGGUAGUUUGAAGGAAUGAUGUAUCCUCCUGUGAAAUCCACCAUUUAGGUUAAUAUUUUAAAAAAGAUUUGUUGGAUUUCUAUUAUUUUUCAGUCCCGCUGACAAAUUGUGCAUUUUGUAUCAAAAAGGCAGUGGUACUCUCAGUGGUUAGAUUAAAAACUUUAUUAAUGUUAUCAUAUUUGAUGAGCAAAUAGACUGCCUUGUUCUGUUAGGCCUACUUGAAAUUUCCAACUCUAUUGUUUGUUUGUUUGUAUCAACAAAUGAAGUAUUUCAGUUGGUGCGUGCUGCCUUUUAAAAUAAAUCUUGGGUUACAUCAUUUAUGUCAUAUUUUCUA
Molecule: long non-coding RNA, 1464 nt
Organism: Amphiprion ocellaris (clown anemonefish)
Lineage: Eukaryota; Metazoa; Chordata; Actinopteri; Pomacentridae
Exons: 6
Source: RefSeq, a predicted model, not a curated record